RNAcentral lists this unclassified non-coding RNA (1205 nucleotides) under Nilaparvata lugens (brown planthopper). RNAcentral describes it as "uncharacterized LOC111058640, transcript variant X2". The record is from RNAcentral. Lineage: Eukaryota; Metazoa; Arthropoda; Insecta; Hemiptera; Delphacidae.
GCGCGCCUAAUUGUAGCGGGAUUCGAAGGUGAACUUUGGUGUCACAUUGUAAAAAUUUCAUAUCAAAAUCCUUAGCAUAAUCAAUCAUUCAACUUCAAUUUAUUUUGUCCAUUCAAAUAAAUUUAUUCAACCGUCAAAAUAUUUACAAUUAUAUUUUUAUAUGAUUUUGUCAUUGCCAUCUCGAUCAUACUGUUAACUGUUCCAAGGAGGAUAAUAAACUGUUCUAAUACUCUGUUACAGAAUGUAGUAUCUGUUCCAUUUUUAAAUUAUUACUAUAGAAGUACUGUUUUGAUUUGAAUAAAUUAUUAUUAUACAAGCUUUACUAACUGAUCUUCACCUUCCAGUCUUAUGUUUUGUUAAGACUUUAUUAUGAGUUCAAAAUGUAAUUAUAUUUAGUAUACUGUUGAGUGUUUUUUGAAUGUGAUAAUUGAGUUUCUUAUCUAAAAUAUUUAAAAGUGAAUCUCAAUAUAGAACUAUCUUUUUGCAAAUAUUUCUGUAAUAGCCGGUCUUGAGCUGUUCUUGAAGAAUGAAGUGCAAGAAUAUUCCGGCUGAGUUCCAUCGUGAAAGAGUUGGCGUUGCAUCUAGUGCAGAUGCUCGAUUCACCCAUAACAAGAUCGAAGUUGAACUGGUUUGUCGCCGCUUCAACGGAACUUGCUAUUAUACCACACAACCAAGAAUAUCACCAUCUAUUUCACUUGACUAUUUCGUAUGGAUUGGUGAUUUAUACACUUUGACUGUUCUGUACUGUAUGGAAUUUGAGUAUUCAUAAGAAUGACUUGUCUUAUACUCCCUCCUGAAGUCUCCAAGACGAAAUCUUAAAAAAAAUCUAGUCUAUACACCAGGCUGCAUCAUAGAUUACUUCUGCUUGGAUCACCAUGCUAUAAUAAGUCAAUUGAUAACAUCUCCGAUAUGUCAAUAAUCCUCAUUUUAUAGUAAACCCUUGAGAUUGAAGUGCUAGAUGAAUUACUUGAAAAGGUGACGGUCAACCCGAAUUUAUGUUUCUUGAAUUAUCUUUGUUCGGUUGUGAAUCACCCAGAAUUGUGCAUGGGUUUUUGCCAGAUCAAUGCGAAUGAAGUUUACCAUAAAAAUAUUUUAAGGGACGGUUUCCGAGCUCGGGAUUUAGCUAAGUUCUAGACUUUAAACAGCUGGAGUCAGAAAACUGGCUUUCCGAAACGGGGCCUCGUCGUAGUCCACGUUUAAAUUAA